AUGCCACAUGUGACGUUCAGAAUUUCUAACCGGCAUGCACUGCUUCAAGUAAGAUUGGGAUUGGACGCACCUAUAAAGUUCAUGUCACUCAUUCUCUGCAAACAACAGAGAAGACUGAACCAGAAAACAAGAAUACGUCUCAUCAGAGCACAAAGCAAAGGAAAAUUCAAUCAAAACCCAAUUUUCAGAGUAAUGGAUCCCAGCCAGUCUUUCAGUCAGCCUCCAGGAGCAUGGGAUUCAUCUGAGAAAUCAGCAAUGUUGCAUCCUUCAGCACCACCACCAGCAGACCAGGACAGUGCUGGAUAUCCUCCCUCCUCAGGGCCGUAUUCAGGAGAAGCUGUGGUUGCUGUACAGCCUGCAGUUUUUGAGAUCGCUACUCCACUGGCCAGUUCAUUGCCAGAUUACUUGGGUUACUCCAUCUUUACCAUGCUGUGCUGCUGUUUUCCUCUGGGCAUUGCUGCGCUGAUUUUCUCCUGCUCUCAGGACACUAAUACAUUUAUACUCGAAACGCCAAUUUCUCAGGACAGCGAGAAUUAGCAGAGAAGAACUCCAAAAUGACACUCAUCCUGAAUCAUGCCUCCCUUGGUGUUGGCCUCGUUUUCAUUGUACUGUUGAUUAUUGUCAAUGUCUUAACUUUACUUAAUAAAAGAUGAUAGAGCUGUCAUGGUUGGAUGCAGAUUACAAACAGAUUUGAUUCUCUGCAUUGUAAAUGCCAUUUGCUCAAUGUAUCAUUAAAGCCUAUGACAUGUGCUUUAAGACUGAUUAUUGCAUGUUUAGACUUUUUUUCUUAUCUUGAGCUGUGCUAAUUAGAUUUUUUUGUAUGUAUAUAAUAAAACUGUAUGUUAAAAAAAAAUCUAAUUAGCUGAUAAAAAGGGUUUUAAAAAUGUGGAUUGGCAGAAAUCUAUCAGAAAUCUGUCAAUCCACAUUUUUUAACCCCUUUUUUUAUCAUGCAUGCAACAUCUUUAUCUGACAGUAAAUAACUACUGUACCUGCCAAUUUAUGAAAAAUUUAUUUCGGGUAACACUUUAUAAUAACUUUAAUAAAUCAUUAACAAACAUUAUAUAAUGCUUAACAGAUCAUUAGUUAAUAUAUAUAUAUAUAUAUAUAGAGAGAGAGAGAGAGAGAGAGAGAGAGAGAGAGAGAGAGAGAGAGAUAUGGCUAGAAACAUGAGAUAAUGUGCUUGUUAAUGUUUACUAAACUUAUUUAACAUUACCUAAAGAUCAACAGAUAGUUCAUUUAAAUUACAAUGCUUACAAAUGUCACUAAACAUUUAAUUCAUAUGAUCAUGCACAUCUUGAAAAUCGACACAUUAUUUUUUUCAGAUGCUUUACAAUGAUAAAAGCUUUUGUUAAUGUACAACACUUUUGCUGUUAUUGAGGUGUGAUAUGGGUAGGUUAGGGUUAGGGUUUGGUAUUAUGGGUUUGUUUAAGGGUUGGAUAAGGGCUCAACAAGUGUAGAGGGGUCAGUUUUUGAUUAUUAAAAGGGAGCAUGGUUCAAUCUGUUUAUAUUACAUUGUUUUGAGAAAUGAACAAGUAUUUUUAUUUGUUUUUUCCUGCUGAUGUAUGAUUCAAGGAAUACCCUGUUUAAUGAUGAAGUAUAUACUAAUAUAAAUGUUGAGGAAAUAAAAAUGUUUUACACCCAAAUUACAUAUAUUAUGUCUUUAAGGAGCAUGUGCAUAAACUUAACUAAACACCCUUUAUACAAACGUUGUUACAGCAGCUAGAAAUCCAAUUCCCAUAAAGGUACUGAGUGAUAAGUAAACAUUUAUAGUUUUACAUUUAGAGUGUUCCUGUAGCUCAAUUGGUCGCGCAUUGUGCUGUUAAGCGCAAGGUUGGGGGUUCGAUUCCCCGGAAACACAUGAUAGGUGAAAAUUGAUAGCCUGAAUGCACUAUAAGUCGCUUUGGAUAAAAGCGUCUGCUAAAUGUACACAUUUUUUACAUUUAUAAACAUGAAUAGUUUCCACUUUAGAUUGGGUACUGCAAAAACAUGAAUAAAUUAUUAAUAAAUUAUUUGUUAAGAUUUGAAAACAGAAGAAGUCAACAAACGAAGACCAAAUAUAUGACCUUUACAGGCUGUGAUUAUGAGUUAAUGAAUAAUACGUUAAUUUUAAUAGUUCAUUGAAUAGUAAAGAGCAUAAAAUUAUUGUUUCAAGUAAAUUUUUCACAACAUUUGUAAAUGUAAAAAAGAGCAUUAGGUAAUUUGUGAAGUGAAGUUUAAUUUGUUUGCU
Molecule: long non-coding RNA, 2227 nt
Organism: Carassius auratus (goldfish)
Lineage: Eukaryota; Metazoa; Chordata; Actinopteri; Cypriniformes; Cyprinidae
Source: Ensembl